UUCCUUUCUUGAUUCUCUGGGUAGUGGUGCAUGGCCGUUCUUAGUUGGUGGAGUGAUUUGCUCUGGUUAAUUCCGUUAACGAACGAGACCUUAACCUGCUAUUUAGUCGCUCGGUCUCCGUCCGUGCGCACUUCAUAGAGGGACUCUGCGGCGUCAAGCUGCGGUGAGGUUUAAGGCAAUAACAGGUCUGUGAUGCCCUUAGAUGUCCUGGGCUGCACGCGCGCUACACUGAUGCUUGCCUCGUGUUUACCCUCGGCCGAUAGGCCCUGGUAACCCCUAGUCUGCAUCGUGUUUGGGAUUGAUCUUUGCAAUUCUAGAUCAUGAACGAGGAAUGCCUAGUAUGCGCAAGUCAUCAGCUUGUGCAGAUUACGUCCCUGCCCUUUGUACACCCCGCCCGUCCCUCCCUCCUUUUUUUUU
RNAcentral lists this ribosomal RNA (417 nucleotides) under Babesia bovis. Its description in RNAcentral is "SSU rRNA". It matches the Rfam family "Eukaryotic small subunit ribosomal RNA", at positions 1254 to 1695 of the family's 1831-position model. The record is from RNAcentral. Lineage: Eukaryota; Apicomplexa; Aconoidasida; Piroplasmida; Babesiidae.